This 229-nucleotide unclassified non-coding RNA is filed under the name Caulophyllum robustum. Lineage: Eukaryota; Viridiplantae; Streptophyta; Magnoliopsida; Ranunculales; Berberidaceae. The record is from RNAcentral.
ACAGCGUCGCCCCCACCCCAACGUGCACACGCACCACGGGGGAGGGGCGGAGAUUGGCCCCCCGUGCCGUAAKCAGGCGCGGUCGGCCCAAAAGUCGACCCUCGGCGACGAGCGUCACGAUCAUUGGUGGUUGAGAAGCCCCCUCGUCGUAGACCGGCGUCGUGGCGCCUCGUCGCCUUACCGGGUCGGAAGAACCCUCGUUUGUCCUGCACCACGGGACAUUCACUCU